UCUUCUGAGGAAGAAAGCAGGGGGACCAUUUGGCCUUGCGCUGUUUGAGCGGCCGAUAUCUGAUUAGCUAGUUGGUGGGGUAAAGGCCUACCAAGGCGACGAUCAGUAGCGGGUCUGAGAGGAUGAUCCGCCACACUGGGACUGAGACACGGCCCAGACUCCUACGGGAGGCAGCAGUGGGGAAUUUUGGACAAUGGGCGCAAGCCUGAUCCAGCCAUGCCGCGUGUCUGAAGAAGGCUUCGGGUUGUAAAGGACUUUUGUCAGGGAAGAAAAGGGCGGGGUUAAUACCCCUUCUGAUGAC
This 301-nucleotide ribosomal RNA is filed under the name Neisseria mucosa. Its description in RNAcentral is "bacterial SSU rRNA". It matches the Rfam family "Bacterial small subunit ribosomal RNA", at positions 190 to 476 of the family's 1533-position model. Lineage: Bacteria; Pseudomonadati; Pseudomonadota; Betaproteobacteria; Neisseriales; Neisseriaceae. The record is from RNAcentral.